RNAcentral lists this ribosomal RNA (260 nucleotides) under uncultured prokaryote. RNAcentral describes it as "partial 16S ribosomal RNA". It matches the Rfam family "Bacterial small subunit ribosomal RNA", at positions 524 to 784 of the family's 1533-position model. The record is from RNAcentral.
UACGUAGGGGCAAGCGUUGUCCGGAAUUAUUGGGCGUAAAGGGCGCGCAGGCGGUCUUCUAAGUCUGAUGUGAAAUCCCACGGCUUAACCGUGGAAGGUCAUUGGAAACUGGAGGACUUGAGUGCAGAAGAGGAGAGUGGAAUUCCACGUGUAGCGGUGAAAUGCGUAGAGAUGUGGAGGAACACCAGUGGCGAAGGCGACUCUCUGGUCUGCAACUGACGCUGAGGUGCGAAAGCGUGGGUAGCGAACAGGAUUAGAUA